Molecule: long non-coding RNA, 803 nt
Organism: Mus pahari (shrew mouse)
Lineage: Eukaryota; Metazoa; Chordata; Mammalia; Rodentia; Muridae
Exons: 6
Source: RefSeq, a predicted model, not a curated record
UUCUAAGUAUGUCGGAGUGGUUGAACAGAGAGAAAGGGAAUACCCUAAGAGAACUAGAAAUCUGGAAAGAACCGAAAUAGAGGCAGUGUCUGAUGACACUUUACUUGAGGAGUCACCUGCUGAACUGCUGAUCACCUCUAGAGAUCCCUCCAGCUAACCAGAACUGACUUCAUCAGCUAGUUAUGAUGGUUAACUCUAUCAGUAUUUUACCUGAAUGCCCCAAGAUAUUGAUGAAGUCAACAGCAACAUUGAGCCUCAGAACACUAGAAAUCUUGGACAAACUGGGAGAAAGCUUGUCAAUAUCUAAGGUGGUUUUAGUUUUGCCGUAGACCAGGUCUUCUUGAAUAUCCUAGACCUUGUAAGAACAACUAUCAACUUCAUAUGAAAAACCAAAAAUCUCCAGAUAGCUACAGCAUCCUGAACACUAGAAUAACUUCUGGAGGUUGUGCUUUCAUUUUCCUGACUAGGACUCAUCGCAACACACUUCUGUGGUUGGAGUGGCCAAUAGAAAAGAUGAGGAUCUCUGGAUCUGUAAGGCCCUGAGGAUAAAUCCUUCUUUGCUGAGCUGAACCACCUGUCUCUCCCUCUACAGGCCCUGUUCAGAGUUAACCCUUAAGGAGACCUUUUUUCAGUGUUGAGUGAUCAGCAUUUAUUGAGAAGGCAGAGAAUAGAUGGUAAGAAUUGUUUAUGCAAACUUCUGACAGUAGAUGUUUGGUAUAAGCAUUACAGUGCUAUGUUAGACUGAAACAAGAUAUGAGGGCAGAGAAAUCAGCAUUUGAAUAACAUACGGGUAAAUGUUACAC